GGCGAGUGAGCGGGAAGAGCUCAAAUUUGAAAUCUGGCAGUCUUCGAUUGUCCGAGUUGUAAUCUAUAGAGGCGUUUUCCGUGCCGGACCGUGUCCAAGUCUCCUGGAAAGGAGUAUCAAAGAGGGUGAUAAUCCCGUACUUAACACGACCACCGGUGCUCUGUGAUACGUCUUCUACGAGUCGAGUUGUUUGGGAAUGCAGCUCAAAAUGGGGUGGUGAAUUCCAUCUAAAGCUAAAUAUUGGCGAGAGACCGAUAGCGAACAAGUACCGUGAGGGAAAGAUGAAAAGCACUUUGGAAAGAGAGUUAAACAGUACGUGAAAUUGUUGAAAGGGAAACGAUUGAAGUCAGUCGUGUUCUUUGGAUUCAGCCAGUUCUGCUGGUCUACUUCCUUUGAACGGGUCAACAUCAGUUUUGUCCGGUGGAUAAAGGCAGUAGGAAUGUAGCUUCUCCGGAAGUGUUAUAGCCUAUUGUCACAUACACUGGGUGAGACUGAGGACUGCAGCUCGCCUUUAUGGCCGACCUUCGGGUACGUUCGAGCUUAGGAUGUUGACAUAAUGGCUUUAAACAACCCGUCUUGA
Molecule: ribosomal RNA, 580 nt
Filed under: Trichosporon sp. Z8Y32
Lineage: Eukaryota; Fungi; Basidiomycota; Tremellomycetes; Trichosporonales; Trichosporonaceae
Description: eukaryotic LSU rRNA
Rfam family: Eukaryotic large subunit ribosomal RNA
Source: RNAcentral